RNAcentral lists this ribosomal RNA (283 nucleotides) under uncultured prokaryote. RNAcentral describes it as "partial 16S ribosomal RNA". It matches the Rfam family "Bacterial small subunit ribosomal RNA", at positions 524 to 805 of the family's 1533-position model. The record is from RNAcentral.
UACGUAGGGGGCGAGCGUUACCCGGAAUCACUGGGCGUAAAGGGAGCGUAGGUGGCCUGACAUGUCGACUGUGAAAACCCGGAGCUCAACUCCGGACUUGCAGUUGAAACUGCCAGGCUUGAGGACGGUAGAGGAAGACGGAACUGCCAGUGUAGGGGUAAAAUCCUUAGAUAUUGGCAGGAACGCCGGUGACGAAGGUGGUUUUCUGGCCGGUUCUGACACUGAUGCUCGAAAGCCAGGGGAGCGAACGGGAUUAGAUACCCUGGUAGUCCCUGAGCGGGCU